This 253-nucleotide ribosomal RNA is filed under the name uncultured bacterium. RNAcentral describes it as "partial 16S ribosomal RNA". It matches the Rfam family "Bacterial small subunit ribosomal RNA", at positions 524 to 776 of the family's 1533-position model. The record is from RNAcentral.
GACGUAGGGCGCGAGCGUUGUCCGGAUUUAUUGGGCGUAAAGCGCACGCAGGCGGCUGAGUCAGUCGGUUGUGAAAGCCCUGGGCUUAACCUGGGAAUUGCAGUCGAUACUACUCAGCUAGAGUAUGGGAGAGGGUAGUGGAAUUCCCGGUGUAGCGGUGAAAUGCGUAGAUAUCGGGAGGAACAUCAGUGGCGAAGGCGGCUACCUGGCCCAAUACUGACACUCAGGUGCGACAGCGUGGGGAGCAAACAGG